Molecule: long non-coding RNA, 257 nt
Filed under: Elaeis guineensis (African oil palm)
Lineage: Eukaryota; Viridiplantae; Streptophyta; Magnoliopsida; Arecales; Arecaceae
Description: long non-coding RNA (EGUI_LNC067805)
Source: RNAcentral
GCCAAAUAUAAUCUGAUGAGGUGCACAAAAAAUCACCUCUUCUUAAGGUGGCAUCCCAUAAAGAGUUUGGAUGAUUUGGUUCAGAUUCAAACAGGCUUUGAUCUUAUCACGAAUUCAAAUCAGAUUUGAAUUCUUUUUCAAACCAAACUUAAUCCACAACUAAGGGACUCAGAAAGGGGUGUGACAAACCUCAAAUUGAUGCAAAAAACCCAUGCAAAAAAUCAUGUUGCACAUAAGAAAGAAGGCUGGUUGGUGGC